This 669-nucleotide ribosomal RNA is filed under the name Listeria monocytogenes. Its description in RNAcentral is "bacterial SSU rRNA". It matches the Rfam family "Bacterial small subunit ribosomal RNA", at positions 871 to 1533 of the family's 1533-position model. Lineage: Bacteria; Bacillati; Bacillota; Bacilli; Caryophanales; Listeriaceae. The record is from RNAcentral.
GCCUGGGGAGUACGACCGCAAGGUUGAAACUCAAAGGAAUUGACGGGGGCCCGCACAAGCGGUGGAGCAUGUGGUUUAAUUCGAAGCAACGCGAAGAACCUUACCAGGUCUUGACAUCCUUUGACCACUCUGGAGACAGAGCUUUCCCUUCGGGGACAAAGUGACAGGUGGUGCAUGGUUGUCGUCAGCUCGUGUCGUGAGAUGUUGGGUUAAGUCCCGCAACGAGCGCAACCCUUGAUUUUAGUUGCCAGCAUUUAGUUGGGCACUCUAAAGUGACUGCCGGUGCAAGCCGGAGGAAGGUGGGGAUGACGUCAAAUCAUCAUGCCCCUUAUGACCUGGGCUACACACGUGCUACAAUGGAUAGUACAAAGGGUCGCGAAGCCGCGAGGUGGAGCUAAUCCCAUAAAACUAUUCUCAGUUCGGAUUGUAGGCUGCAACUCGCCUACAUGAAGCCGGAAUCGCUAGUAAUCGUGGAUCAGCAUGCCACGGUGAAUACGUUCCCGGGCCUUGUACACACCGCCCGUCACACCACGAGAGUUUGUAACACCCGAAGUCGGUAGGGUAACCUUUAUGGAGCCAGCCGCCGAAGGUGGGACAGAUAAUUGGGGUGAAGUCGUAACAAGGUAGCCGUAUCGGAAGGUGCGGCUGGAUCACCUCCUUUCUAAGGAA